AGGAACAUACUUAGAACAGUUCGAUAGUGAAAUGAAAUUUAAACAUAUGGCAGUUAAAAUAAUAACUGAAUAAUCAUCGAUAAGCUUGCAAGAUAAUUGAAGUUUGUAUGACUUUCCAACGAAGAAACUUGCACGAAUAAAUAACUAACACAAGUCCAAUACUUACCCUUACUGCGAUAAUAUUAGUAAGGAUUUAAUAAAUACCCAAAAGAAAUUAGGGUUAGGAAACUUGCCUGAUAAGCCUGCUACAAUUAACGCUAGCAAUUAACCUUCACAUAACCUAAUCACAUGUGUCUCGUAAAUCACCAUUCAUACACAAUCUAGUUUGAAG
RNAcentral lists this long non-coding RNA (331 nucleotides) under Panax ginseng (ginseng). RNAcentral describes it as "long non-coding RNA (PGIN_LNC005433)". The record is from RNAcentral. Lineage: Eukaryota; Viridiplantae; Streptophyta; Magnoliopsida; Apiales; Araliaceae.